CCUUACCAAGAUUUUUUUUUUAAGAACAAGGCUUUAUUGUAUUUAUUUAUUUAGAGGAAGAUUAGCCCUGAGCUAACAUUGCCACGAAUCCUUCUCUUUUUGCCGAGGAAGACUGGACCUGAGCUAACAUCCGUGCCCACCUUCCACCCAGAUCCGAAGCAGCGAACCCUGGCCGCCAAAGAGGAACGUGCAAACUUAGCCGCUGCGCCACCGGGCCGGCUCCCCGCCUCAAGGUAUUGAAAAAGACUAACUGGAAGGAGCAUCUGCUUGCUGAGUGUAGGCUGAGGCCCCAGCAAGAUUCUGCCCUCCAGGCUGAGCAAGGGCUCCAGAUGUGACUAAGCAAGCUCUCGGGUUAGCGCUCCGGCCCUCGCCUAUUGCCCAGCGGGAGGAGCCGGUAUUUCCGGAUUGGAGUCUCAGACCCUGGGAUCCCGGCUAAGGGCGAAGGGGAAGGGAAGCCGAUCAUAAAAGCUAACUUUUCACCAAAAUCGUUAACCUGCUUCCCAUCCCCUAGACAAAAACAAAGACCCCCAAACACACGCAACAGCCCACAACCAUCCUUCCCGUGGUCUGUUGACGGUAACAGGAGCUGACCCCUUCCUUGCCAACAUCCCUGGAGAGGUUCAAGAAGCAGACCUGGGCACGAAUAAAGAAAGCAGCACAGCGAAUUCCGCGCGCCCUCGGCGGGAAGAAAGCUCGGCGGCAGUUUCACAGAGAAGGGAAGAGGCGGGGCAGCGGGCGCGCCGGCUCGGGGACAAGGCGGCCGCGGCCCCUGCCCCAUCGCUGGGUGGCGUGUGAGGCUCCCCUCCGUCCUUCCCGACACCCCAAAGUAGAGCUUCGAGAAGCUGCGUCGGCCUCCCCGAGCUCGCACGCCGGGCACCCUCGGGGUCUCCGGGAAGCAGGUGACAGCCGUGGCCCACCCGUGUCCCCUCCGGGCCUCCGCUCUCUGGCUCGCCGCCGUCCAACACUCCCUGCCCCCAGCCUGGAUAUUUUUUUUUUUCUUUCUCCCAAACCUCCUAACAGGAAAUAGUUUGGGUCACACUAAUACACGGGAGCAGCGGCCGAGGCCACUCGCGCGCGCCCACUCCCGGGGCAGCCUCCUGCACUCCGGCGCGGGCGAGGCGCCGCCGGCGACAAGCGCGGGGAGCGCAGGGGCCACCCGCCCAGCAGCCGGUGCCGCCUCGGAUGCGCCCGAGCGCCGCCCGCGCCCUGUGCCGGACUCCGCCGACUGCCCCCAGAUGGAGAGAGAAGGAGAACAGGGAAUAGAGAAUUGUAAAGAAGCUUCUUAUGGGCCAGGCUUUGCAGUGGAAGCCAGAACUGCGUGCAUGGCUACACCUAAUGGGAAACAUAGUUUAGAUGUGUUCCCAGAAGAAAAGGAAAAUGGAUUUGCCGAACAACCAGCCAGUGUCUGCCACACACAGGAAGCCAGUCAAUGGAGAGCAAGAAGAAUGAGCAGAUGGACGAAGGGAGAUGAAAUGGAGAGAACCUUUUUAUGGCCUUCCAGGUUCUGGUGUCGGUCCCCUUCUGAGGCCCCGCUACAUUCCCGGCACCUGAGUUGAUGAGCCAUCCUGUGUCUUUGUAAUUUCCCUACUCUGCUGAAACUAGCUGCUGAUGGCUUCUAUAGUUUACAACCAAGACAGUUCUACCAGAUUCGCACACUCAGGAGGAUUGUAACAGCUUGGAGGAAACGCAUGUGUUCAAAAUCUCCCACCCCAUCUCUAGGAAGGUCCUGCGAGUUCCAGUUACUUAUAUCCAUUUCCAUAAUGACAUUAGCAGCCUGGAGAUUAGUAUUUACAAUUGAGCUAAACCCCUUCAUACAGAUGCUGCAGCUGAAGUCAGCACAAAAAAAAGCAAACCAAGACAGUUCGAGCAAGCUGUGCCGGAAAGAGUUGGUUAUUAUAUCACACGCAUUGAUUUAUAGGUUCAGUUUGCCUUUACCUAAAUGUCUAGUUAUUUAACAGCUGUUAUGAAUCAGCCGGAUAGAGGAUUAAGAAGGGGUGGGGGGGAAGUAGGUGAAAAAAUGCUUUAAUCUUUUGCUACAAUAGAGGAACAAGUUGAAUCAGGUCUCAUCUAGUCAUUUUGGUUCUCUGAGGCUUCUUAAAGGGGAGCAUUGUUCGAGUGGAAGGUGAGACAGCUUAACAUAGAUCAUUGGGUUGAGUUCACCCAGUUAACCCGUCAGCGAGUGACCUAGGCAAUGCCGGGUAUGGGUUAGAAAGCAAUGCACCAAUAAAUGUCGGGAGGAGCUGGCUCAGUCAAAGUUGUUCCAACUUGCUUUGGCUUUAAAUAGAUAACUUCCGAAGUUUGGAUGAGUACAUGAAGACCUAACGAGAUGUCACGUAAGGUAACACAUGGGUUACCAAACAGAAGGCAAGGCGGAGUUCGCUCAGGUGGACCCUUAACCAUGUUCAAUCUCAACAUCAAAAUCUUGGACAAUAGUCAGGGGGCAUUUACCAAGUGGAGGUAUCUCUUUGUAAGAAUUUCUUUUACUCAGGAGUUUACAAAGACAAAAAAGGACUUCCUGGGAGUGUCUGAAACCCUCUUCUAAGAUGAAACCGAGGCCAAGUUUCCUCUUUGUAUGUGUUCUGCACGCUGUGGAGAAGACAAGCUGGGUGCUGAGGCGACUGUCCGCUCCUUGACCCUAAGAUGAUCCUGACAGGUCUGCCUAGGGGAAGAGAUGCUGCACUGGUCCAGCGAGGAUGCUCCUCUGUGUCCCAGCUUGUUCUGGCCUUACUCAAUUUGGUCUGUGCUCAGAUGUCUGUCUUGCUCAAACCUUGGCCUAAGCAUUGUGCUUACUCAAAGUACAACGUCCUGAUUGUUUCUUCCUUGAUUUUUCCAGCACGUUUUGUGUCUCUUUAAAAUGCUCUGCAAAUUCCUAGCUCUGGCUCUUUUACCUGAACUUAACAACACCCCGCACUCCCCAACCCACCACCAGCACACACACUGGCAAUAGCUUUGUUCUUCUCGUGCUCAGAUCUACAGCUCCUCCUUGCAGCCAAACUGCCUCCACAUCUAGAUGCAGAAAGAGAGAAAACUUUCAGUCUUAAGGGAGCCUCGAGGCUCUGAGCCUCUGAGUGAGAAAGUAUAUAGUUGCAAGAGCAAUAUGAAUUACACCAGCACCUCCAAUUAGUUUGCUCUCUAGCCACAGGGCCUUUGCACAGGAAUGCUUUUCUACUCCUACUCACUUCACCUGGUUGACUCUGUUCUUUGUUUAAAUCUCAGCACAUUCAAUUCCUUUUUUACCUCCUAACUUGUUCGAUAUUGAAAUUAUAUCCUUCGGAGCUCCAUGUACCUCUCCUUCACAGCACUAUGACUCUAGUAAUUAUUUGUGCUAUUCUCUUUGAUUAUAGUUUCUCUCUCCCACUAGGCUUUCAGCUCUAUGAGGGUGGGAACUGUGAUUUUACUCGUUGGGUCCCCCAUUAUAGCACUGUGCUAAGCAUAUAGUGGGAGCUCCAUAAAUCUUUGUUUAAUGAAUGCAUAAAUAAUUGCGUUUUGAUACAUGAUACAAGGUUAUUACUAAGUCAUAGAAUCCAGAAAGCAACAAUGUCAGAGAGCGAAGCACCCAAGCUAGUUACAUCUGCUGAGGAUUUUCACAAUGUGACUAAAUGGGAAAAGCGUGGGACUAAAAGAUAUUUUUCACCUGGUUGUUGUUUAGUCAAAAUGUUAUCCCAGGUAAAGGAAGGGUGGAGGUUGGCGUGAGUUGAGGAUUCUUUCCCAAGGCAAGUCCCAGCAGCCGGCGGUCCUGCUGAAGCCAGAGGGGUACGCAGCCUUCCCUCCAGCCGCCGGCAUCUGUGAAACCCAUUCAUAGGCCUUUAUCGGCCCCAAGAUGUCUCUUCUCUUCCAAAACUAUCUAUUUUUUUAUUAGAGCUAGCUGCCAGAUUAUUGUAUGCUGUUCAUGCCCUUAAAAAGUGAUCUGGGAAUUGAAUUUCUGACAGUUAAGCUACAUCCUAAACCGCUAGGGGAGGGCUUCUUGGGGUUCAUGAAAAAACUUCAGCGUCUAUGAGUUCAUAAGAUUGUAUCCAAUAUGCGGUUUAUGGAUGAGAAAACUGAAGCUCAGAGAGAUUGAAGGGUUUACAUGGACCUGGCUGCUUCAGGCCCUCCAGACCAGCAUUGAUUGCCCAGAGUUACAAGAAAAGGAAGCACAAAUUCUCCAGGUGGCUCACUGAGAGUGAUGAAGAGACUUCUGUGAUCCACUCACCCUGGAGCUGCAGUAGGGGACAGAUGUAAGCCAGGUAUUAGCAACCCAGAUGAUCUUGGGAAGCCACUUCAUUGAAGACAACAGAGCCUCUGUCAGCCCGGCUCCUGAAUAACUACCACAAUCUCCACCCUUUUCCUCUCCUCAAACAUGAAGAUCAGUAUUAAACUAUUACUUGAGUAAAAAAUAAGGUUUUGUUUUGUAUUAAACCAUUGCUAUUUGGGAGUUUAUUUGUUGUAGCAGCUGGCAUUGCCUGAACUAACCCAACUGAAUUAAAUUAUCCAGG
This 4475-nucleotide long non-coding RNA is filed under the name Equus caballus (horse). RNAcentral's name for it is "lncRNA (ENSECAG00000048830.1)". Lineage: Eukaryota; Metazoa; Chordata; Mammalia; Perissodactyla; Equidae. The record is from RNAcentral.